CCCCAUCGAUACUGCCGAUCACUCGUCCUUUUUGCUUCAGGCACAGGCCUCAAAAUCCAAGGUUGUUGCUGUUGCCGGCUCCGGAACAACGUUCAUCAACGCUGUCAAGUCGGCCAAAGAUUUCGGUCUUACCGACGGAGGAAAGCAAACCAUUGCCGGGUUGCUGGUCUGGAUCACCGAUAUCGACUCAAUGGGUCUAU
RNAcentral lists this unclassified non-coding RNA (200 nucleotides) under Hevea brasiliensis (rubber tree). The record is from RNAcentral. Lineage: Eukaryota; Viridiplantae; Streptophyta; Magnoliopsida; Malpighiales; Euphorbiaceae.